AUUGAACGCUGGCGGCAGGCUUAACACAUGCAAGUCGAGCGGGGGAGAUUGCUUCGGUAAUUGACCUAGCGGCGGACGGGUGAGUAAUACUUAGGAAUCUGCCUAUUAAUGGGGGACAACAUCUCGAAAGGGAUGCUAAUACCGCAUACGCCCUACGGGGGAAAGCAGGGGAUCACUUGUGACCUUGCGUUAAUAGAUGAGCCUAAGUCGGAUUAGCUAGUUGGUGGGGUAAAGGCCUACCAAGGCGACGAUCUGUAGCGGGUCUGAGAGGAUGAUCCGCCACACUGGGACUGAGACACGGCCCAGACUCCUACGGGAGGCAGCAGUGGGGAAUAUUGGACAAUGGGGGGAACCCUGAUCCAGCCAUGCCGCGUGUGUGAAGAAGGCCUUAUGGUUGUAAAGCACUUUAAGCGAGGAGGAGGCUCUCUUGGUUAAUACCCAAGAUGAGUGGACGUUACUCGCAGAAUAAGCACCGGCUAACUCUGUGCCAGCAGCCGCGGUAAUACAGAGGGUGCGAGCGUUAAUCGGAUUUACUGGGCGUAAAGCGUGCGUAGGCGGCUUUUUAAGUCGGAUGUGAAAUCCCCGAGCUUAACUUGGGAAUUGCAUUCGAUACUGGGAAGCUAGAGUAUGGGAGAGGAUGGUAGAAUUCCAGGUGUAGCGGUGAAAUGCGUAGAGAUCUGGAGGAAUACCGAUGGCGAAGGCAGCCAUCUGGCCUAAUACUGACGCUGAGGUACGAAAGCAUGGGGAGCAAACAGGAUUAGAUACCCUGGUAGUCCAUGCCGUAAACGAUGUCUACUAGCCGUUGGGGCCUUUGAGGCUUUAGUGGCGCAGCUAACGCGAUAAGUAGACCGCCUGGGGAGUACGGUCGCAAGACUAA
Molecule: ribosomal RNA, 877 nt
Filed under: uncultured bacterium
Lineage: Bacteria
Description: bacterial SSU rRNA
Rfam family: Bacterial small subunit ribosomal RNA
Source: RNAcentral